UGAGGAUAAAAUUGAGAAGAAGAGGUUUCUCUUUCUCUCCCUUUACCUGCCCUGACAAACUCAAGCUUUCUUCUCUGCAAUGGGAACCUGCGUGGAAGCUUUUGCGUUUCCUUAGUCCUGAACUUCAGUCACUUUUAAAAUGAUGCAGUUGGGUACAGGUUGAAGUUUAUGUCUGGAUAAAUUAACUCCCCACUAUUUCUGGCCUACCUGGAUAUGGGCAGCACAUGCUCUUCAGGCAGAGGAAGUCCAGAGUCAAAGAGACACAAAUGCUUGAGUUUCAACAAUGUCCUUGGAGAGGGCCGGAAAAGGGCAAGAGGAAUUGGAAGCCACAUGGUAUCUGACAAGGCUUGUUCAUUAUCACAGCUUCUCCUCCUCUGUUGUGCUGUGUCAACCACCAAGUUGUGCCAGCCGAGAAUUGUGGUCUCAGGUCUCCAUCCAGAUCUUUGAUUGUGUGGCCACAUGGAUUCAGGCAGCUGAACACGAGCAUGGAGGCACAGGCUUUCCCUCUAAGGGUCUCAGGAAGACCACCAAACAUCAGAGGAAACCGAGGCUGAGGUCUACAUGCAACAGUCUUUGAAGAGCACGAGAACACACUGAGACCAGCAGAAAGGUAUAUAAAGUUUGUUAAGUUGAGAAACUCAGAUAAUCUGUCCGGCUGUGCCUAGCUCCUCUGGAUUUAAGGGACCUUCUUUUUCAUGGAAAGGAGUUUUUCUGGAGAUCAGCCUCUGAAGGUGGAGCCAAGGCCAUGAUCACAGGUCUCCUGUGUGAGAAGUCAUUUCCUGAUGCUCCCGGCAUUCUUCCAGAAACCCCUCUUUCCACUUUCUAAUGCUGCCAUAAUUACCUAUAGGUAACAAAAUAUUUUCUGCCCGUUCUUACUAGAAAAAUGUGUGAAGAGAGGGUAGAUAGGUUCUAACCCUUGGUCUAUGAUGUAGGCCGUUCUUGCAUUGCUAUAAAGAAAUACCUGAGACUGGGUAAUUUAUAAAGAAAAGAGGCUUAAUUGGCCAUGAUUCUGCAGGCUGUACAGGAAGCAUGGUGCUGGCAUCUACUCAGCUUUGGGAGGCCUCAAGGAGCUUUCACUCAUGGCAGAGGGUGAAGCGGGAGCUUGCCUGUCACAUGGUGAAAGCAGGAGCAAGAAAGAGAGGAGGGAGCUGCCACAUGUGUUUAAACAACCAGCUCUUGUGCGAACUCACUAUCAUGAGGACAGCAUCAAGCCAUGAGGGAUCCACCCCCAUGACCCAAACACCUCCCACUAGGCCCCAACUCUAAUAUUGGGGAUUACAUUUCCACAUGGGAUUUGGAGGGGAUAAAUGUCCAAACUAUAUCUGUCCAUUUGUAAACUACAUGAAAUUUAGUCUAUUGACUUUAUAGUGUCUCUUUGUCUUUCUGUAUUGCUUGGUUCUUGACUAUUUGUGGGGAUAGUUGAUGUCAUAAAACAAAUGAGUUAUCACAGUCUCUGGAACUGUUAUUGAAAUGAUUUUUGCCAGUAUUUUUCUAGGAAUAUAUGUCAAGUUUUUAUGCUUUCAUUUUAAAGACAUUUUCUUUGUUUUCUAAAGAUAAAUAUUACUUAACACUAUCAGCAACUUCAUUUUCCACUUCACUUCUUUAGGAGUUUUAAAAAAACACUGAUUAGUGGCACUAAAAUAGUUAUAUUAAAUGCUCUGAAAUGUAGCUCACCAGAGAAUGUAGAUGAAUAAUAUUUUUCUUAGUAAAAUAUGCUGUUUAAACUCCUCUUCCUCUCUCAUUUUUCUUAAUCCUUCUCUUUCCAUUUCCUCUCUAUUAGUAAUUGGACUCAUUAGACUCAGCUACCUCCUUCUCUUCUGUUCUUUAUCUGGUAUUUAGUUAACACUAUAUUCUAGGUGCUCACUGUAGGAACUUAUACUCUAGAAGGGAGGGCAAUGUACAGAAAUUCCAUAAUAAAACAGAAUAUGUGCUUAAAUGCUAUAAGAGUUAUAAAAUGUAUUAGGAGAGAUUCUUCAUUAAGGAGAGAUGAUUCUUGAUCGAGUGAUCAUAAUGGUGAUUAAUUAGCAGAGAACAAGUUUUUAGAAAUGUACACUCUAUGUAAAUUUGUUUACGUUUUUCUAGAUUCUGGAUAUUAGUCCUUUGUCAGAUGGAUAGAUUGCAAAAAUUUUCUCCCAUUCUGUAGGUUGUCUGUUCAUUCUGAUGACAGUUUCUUUUGCUGUGCAGAAGCUCUUUAGUUUAAUUAGAUCCCAUUUAUCAAUUUUGGCUUUUGUUGCCAUUGCUUUUGGUGUGUUAGUCAUGAAGUCUUUGCCCAUGCUUAUGUCCUGAAUGGUAUUGCCUAAGUUUUCUUCUGGGGUUUUUAUGGUUUUCAAUUUUACAUUUAAGUCUUUAAUCCAUCUUGAGUUAAUUUUUAUAUAAGGUGUAAGGAAGGGAUGCAGUUUCAGUUUUGUGCAUAUGGCUACCUAGUUUUCCCCAUUAAAAAGGGGGCAAAGGAUAUGAACAGACACUUCUCAAAAGAAGACAUUUAUGUGGCCAACAAACAUAUGAAAGAAAACUCAUCAUCACUGGCCAUUAGAGAAAUGAAAAUCAAAACCACAAUGAGAUACCAUCUCAUGACAGUUAAAAUGGCAAUCAUUAAAAAGUCAGGAAACAACAGAUGCUGGAGAGGAUGUGGAGAAAUAGGAACGCUUUUACACUGUUGGUGCAGAAUGUAAAUUAGUUCAACCAUUGU
This is a long non-coding RNA of Papio anubis (olive baboon), 2689 nucleotides long. NCBI's taxonomy places the organism in Eukaryota, Metazoa, Chordata, Mammalia, Primates, Cercopithecidae. The record is from Ensembl.